GAGUUUGAUCCUGGCUCAGGAUGAACGCUAGCGGCGGGCCUAAUACAUGAAGUCGAGGGGGCGGCUCAUAGUCGUCACCGGCGGACGGGUGCGUAACGGUAUGCAACCUACCUGUUACUGUGGGAUAACACGGGGAAACUCGUGCUAUACCACAUAGUGUCGUUUUGCUGCAUGGCAAGGCGAUGAAAGCGCAAGCGUAGCAGAUGGGCAUGCGUCCGAUUAGCUAGUUGGUAGGGUAACGGCCUCCAAGGCGACGAUCGGUAGGGGAACUGAGAGGUUGGUCCCCCACACUGGACUGAGACACGGGCCAGACUCCUACGGGAGGCAGCAGUAGGGAAUAUUGGCAAUGGUCGCAAGACUGACCCAGCCACGCCGCGUGCAGGAGGGAGGCGUAUGCGUUGUAAACUGCUUUUGUCGCGGAAGAAAAUAGCGGUGCGCCGCGCUUGACGGUACGCGACGAAUAAGCAUCGGCUAACUCCGUGCCAGCAGCGCGGUAAUACGGAGGAUGCGGGCGUUAUCCGGAUUCAUUGGGUUUAAAGGUGCGUAGGCGGUGUUGCAAGUCAGCGGUAAAAUUCGGCAGCUCAACUGCGGCGUGCCGCUGAUACUGCGGCGCUAGGGUACCUGCAAGGUGGGUGGAUUGGUAGUGUAGCGGUGAAAUGCAUAGAUAUUACCAGGAACACCGAUUGGAAGGCAGCUCACUGGCAGGUAACUGACGCUGAGGCACGAAAGCGUGGGAGCAAACAGGAUUAGAUACCCUGGUAGUCCACGCUGUAAACGAUGUUCAUUGCUGUUCGGCUGUAAGGGCUGAGCGGCUCAGGGAAACCGUUAAGUGACCACCUGGGGAGUACGGCCGCAAGGGUGAAACUCAAAUGAAUU
RNAcentral lists this ribosomal RNA (876 nucleotides) under uncultured Bacteroidota bacterium. Its description in RNAcentral is "bacterial SSU rRNA". It matches the Rfam family "Bacterial small subunit ribosomal RNA", at positions 9 to 911 of the family's 1533-position model. Lineage: Bacteria; Pseudomonadati; Bacteroidota. The record is from RNAcentral.